RNAcentral lists this unclassified non-coding RNA (24 nucleotides) under Mus musculus (house mouse). Its description in RNAcentral is "oocyte_clustered_small_RNA3121". The record is from RNAcentral. Lineage: Eukaryota; Metazoa; Chordata; Mammalia; Rodentia; Muridae.
UAGAGGCAUAGCACAGUCAGCAAG